RNAcentral lists this ribosomal RNA (253 nucleotides) under uncultured bacterium. Its description in RNAcentral is "partial 16S ribosomal RNA". It matches the Rfam family "Bacterial small subunit ribosomal RNA", at positions 524 to 776 of the family's 1533-position model. The record is from RNAcentral.
UACAGAGGUCUCAAGCGUUGUUCGGAAUCACUGGGCGUAAAGGGUGCGUAGGUGGCGAGGUAAGUCAGAUGUGAAAGCCCGGGGCUCAACCUCGGAAUUGCAUCCGAUACUGCCCUGCUCGAGUACUGAAGGGGUGACUAGAAUUCUCGGUGUAGCAGUGAAAUGCGUAGAUAUCGAGAGGAAUACCAAAGGCGUAGGCAGGUCACUGGGCAGUUACUGACACUGAGGCACGAAGGCCAGGGGAGCGAACGGG